AUUGAACGCUGGCGGCGUGCUUAACACAUGCAAGUCGAGCGGUAAGGCCCUUUCGGGGGUACACGAGCGGCGAACGGGUGAGUAACACGUGGGUGACCUGCCCUCAGCUCUGGGAUAAGCCUGGGAAACCGGGUCUAAUACUGGAUAUGACUCCAUGACGCAUGUUGUGGGGUGGAAAGCCUUGUGCGGCUGAGGAUGGGCCCGCGGCCUAUCAGCUUGUGGUGGGGNGAUGGCCUACCAAGGCGACGACGGGUAGCCGGCCUGAGAGGGCGACCGGCCACACUGGGACUGAGACACGGCCCAGACUCCUACGGGAGGCAGCAGUGGGGAAUCUUGCGCAAUGGGCGAAAGCCUGACGCAGCGACGCCGCGUGAGGGAUGACGGCCUGGUGUAACGU
RNAcentral lists this ribosomal RNA (397 nucleotides) under uncultured bacterium. Its description in RNAcentral is "bacterial SSU rRNA". It matches the Rfam family "Bacterial small subunit ribosomal RNA", at positions 28 to 431 of the family's 1533-position model. The record is from RNAcentral.